This 970-nucleotide long non-coding RNA is filed under the name Hordeum vulgare. RNAcentral's name for it is "long non-coding RNA (HVUL_LNC012344)". The record is from RNAcentral. Lineage: Eukaryota; Viridiplantae; Streptophyta; Magnoliopsida; Poales; Poaceae.
GGAAAGUCGCCCGCAUCAGAGCCUAGGUCGCAGCCGCUGAGCAAGGGGCAGCCUCUACGGGCCCCCACCCCUCCCGGGCUGGACGAGGGCGGCAUCCAACAACUUUGCAACCUGAUCAUUGACCACCUCCUCGCGUUCGUCGUCCUCGAUGUCCGACCAUCAGAAAUGCACCGAUUUUGGGUCCCAUGUUAGAGUCAGACGGGGAGAGGCUCCGUCUACACGUCCCCCACCCCGCCCGAGCACGCCGACAGCGGCCUCCAUCGGCCAGUCGGCUGGGAUCUCACCGGGAGCGAGCAGGCUUACCAGUCGCCUGCACGUCAGUUGGCUUCGCAUCCGUAUCGAGCUAAUCUCAAAAUCGCAGGCGGAGGUCUCCCCAACGCUCUUCGCCUAAUUCUCGCUAUUUUCUUCCACCCUCUCCUUAUUUCCACUGCCUACACAUGGAAUCGUCGGAGAACCAACAGGAGAUGGAGCCGAUGCAAGAGCGAUCGUGCAAUCUUUCCACUAUGUUGACCUUGAAUGUUGACUCUUUCGAUGCCGAUGCAAGAUUGAUCGUGCAAUCUUUCCACUACCAGAUGUUGCAGUAGCAGAAAGAUGAGUUGGCGGUGACGGACUAUGAGGACGCACAUAGGCGGACACGGACGCGGAGGGGAAGGCUGCCUACGCAGCGGCGAUGACAGCUCCUUGACCAGGGAGCAGGCGACUGGUAUGCCAGUCCGGGAGGGUAGGAAUGCAUGGACUGCGAGAUUGAUGUUCUUCUGGAUUCAGGCAUGCAAAGAUUAAGCAUAUUUUUCGCUUUUUGGUUGUGAUCAGGCAUGCGAGGUGUGAUCUGAUACGAUAUGUGGAUCAAAGUAUAUUUGAAUUUGAAUUUACUGACGGGGAUAAAUAGGAUAGGUUUGGAUGGUGGCUUCCUGCAUCUGUGUCUGCGGACUAGUCUCCCAUGUUCGAAGAUGAAUGUGAAAAGAAAUUUGUG